GAACCGUCCAAACGUUAUUCGGAUUUAUUGGGCUUAAAGGGUAUGUAGGCGGCGCUGUCAGUCGGGUGUGAAAUCCCUCGGCUCAACCGAGGAACUGCGCCCGAUACUGCAGCGCUUGAGGGAGACAGAGGUAAGCGGAACUGAUGGUGGAGCGGUGAAAUGCGUUGAUAUCAUCAGGAACACCAGUGGCGAAAGCGGCUUACUGGGUCUCUUCUGACGCUGAGAUACGAAAGCUAGGGGAGCGAACGGGAUUAGAUACCCCGGUAGUCCUAGCUGUAAACGAUGGNNCACUUGAUCGUGGGGCCCCCCAUAGCCUCUCGGUCGCAGCGAAAGUGGUAAGUGCUCCGCCUGGGGAGUAUGGUCGCAAGGCUG
This 372-nucleotide ribosomal RNA is filed under the name uncultured bacterium. RNAcentral describes it as "bacterial SSU rRNA". It matches the Rfam family "Bacterial small subunit ribosomal RNA", at positions 527 to 896 of the family's 1533-position model. The record is from RNAcentral.